RNAcentral lists this transfer RNA (62 nucleotides) under Ideonella sp. Its description in RNAcentral is "tRNA-OTHER". Lineage: Bacteria; Pseudomonadati; Pseudomonadota; Betaproteobacteria; Burkholderiales; Sphaerotilaceae. The record is from RNAcentral.
CGCGGGGCAUACUAGGGCUCAUAACCCAAAGGUCGCAGGUUCAAAUCCUGCCCCCGCAACCA